GUCUACGGCCAUACCACCCUGAACGCGCCCGAUCUCGUCUGAUCUCGGAAGCUAAGCAGGGUAGGACCUGGUUAGUACUUGGAUAGGAGAAAAUAUAUUCCACAAAAUCAUAGAAG
This 116-nucleotide ribosomal RNA is filed under the name Microtus ochrogaster (prairie vole). The record is from RNAcentral. Lineage: Eukaryota; Metazoa; Chordata; Mammalia; Rodentia; Cricetidae.